RNAcentral lists this ribosomal RNA (162 nucleotides) under Philotheca glasshousiensis. Its description in RNAcentral is "5.8S ribosomal RNA". It matches the Rfam family "5.8S ribosomal RNA". Rfam says of the family: 5.8S ribosomal RNA (5.8S rRNA) is a component of the large subunit of the eukaryotic ribosome. Lineage: Eukaryota; Viridiplantae; Streptophyta; Magnoliopsida; Sapindales; Rutaceae. The record is from RNAcentral.
UAACGACUCUCGGCAACGGAUAUCUCGGCUCUUGCAUCGAUGAAGAACGUAGCGAAAUGCGAUACUUGGUGUGAAUUGCAGAAUCCCGUGAACCAUCGAGUCUUUGAACGCAAGUUGCGCCCCAAGCCGUUAGGCUGAGGGCACGUCUGCCUGGGUGUCACG